AAGUGCUUGUAAGCCCUAGACUAUGGGGUCUUUAUUCCCUGAAGAAGCAGAAAAUGCCUCAAUGAAUUCUUCCCUUAUCCUUUGAAUCAGCUUGCACUUUAAAAUGUUGUGCUUUUUUACUUUAGUUGGGAAUCUAUUUAUAUUCUUGUUAAUGGGAAGAUAUUAGGGACUUUUGUUACAAACGCACCAGUGCUGUGUGUUAAGGGCUGGAAGCAGGGGCAGGGAGAUAAAGGGAAGGUGAGAAACAGAAAACACGGACAAAAAGAGCCAAGAAUUAUAAGAUGGCUGAUAAUGUUACAGAAAGUUCAAAAAAUAAGGAAAAUAAUAGAUGGAUAAGUAAAUAACGACAUAGGUUCUAUUGUUCUAUUGAGCAUUUUGAUUAUGUAGCUUUUUAAGUUACUUAUGUUAGCCUAAAAAUUAUAAGGAACUACAGUUCAUAUGCAUUUUUUUCUAUACCCAGAUAAACCAUAUUCACGAGAAUUCUGAUUGGCCAUGGAUAUAUCUGGUCCUAGAACAAGAGGAAGUCUUGUUAAGCAUUCCCCAGAGAGAAGAGGUCUUUCCAGGGCUACUAAUGCUCUCUCCUGCAGGGUAAAGUGCCUUCUCAACUGGAUGCCCACGCAAUGACAUUGCUUCCCUGUGGCUCUUGGUUCAGAAAAUUGAGGAGGGCCUGAGAGACUGAACACAAGCAAAAAGCAAGAUCAACUAAGUGCCGUCGCCUUCCUUUUAAGUUGGUGAAUAAAAACCUUGAAUCCUUUUUGGUAUUCUUGUUUGAUUUGAGUCCCAUUUGAUGACCUGUCCUGGUGACCCAUCACUUCCAUGAAUAUUCUAAGAUCCGUCCAAGACAACAUGAAAAGGUGAAGUCACAGUUACCACAUGAUAUGAUUAUUCAGACAAGAAGCCAGAAGCAGGAUAAAAGAAACUUGCCAACUGAUAUUGGUCUCCAAUUUCUACUAAACAGAAUAGUGAAGGAGGAACAGGAGCCCAAUGAGUAUUCACAGGUGAAAUCUUAUUUUAUAGAAGUGCUGCCUCAUUCACCUUUCUCUUAACUACCAGUCAUCACAUUGAAGACACCAAAGAGCCGUCAUGAGCCUUAACUGAGAAAGUGCCAUAACAAGGUGAAAUACUGCAAGGGCCAGUCCAAGCAUCACUUCCGAGCUGUCACCAAGCAUUCCCU
Molecule: long non-coding RNA, 1174 nt
Filed under: Felis catus (domestic cat)
Lineage: Eukaryota; Metazoa; Chordata; Mammalia; Carnivora; Felidae
Description: lncRNA (ENSFCAG00000048730.1)
Source: RNAcentral